Molecule: ribosomal RNA, 492 nt
Filed under: uncultured bacterium
Lineage: Bacteria
Description: partial 16S ribosomal RNA
Rfam family: Bacterial small subunit ribosomal RNA
Source: RNAcentral
AGUGAACGCUGGCGGUAGGCCUAACACAUGCGAGUCGAACGGCAGCACAGUAAGAGCUUGCUCUUACGGGUGGCGAGUGGCGGACGGGUGAGGAAUACAUCGGAAUCUACUUUUUCGUGGGGGAUAACGUAGGGAAACUUACGCUAAUACCGCAUACGACCUACGUGUGAAAGCAGGGGAUCUUCGGACCUUGCGCGAUUGAAUGAGCCGAUGUCGGAUUAGCUAGUUGGCGGGGUAAAGGCCCACCAAGGCGACGAUCCGUAGCUGGUCUGAGAGGAUGAUCAGCCACACUGGAACUGAGACACGGUCCAGACUCCUACGGGAGGCAGCAGUGGGGAAUAUUGGACAAUGGGCGCAAGCCUGAUCCAGCCAUACCGCGUGGGUGAAGAAGGCCUUCGGGUUGUAAAGCCCUUUUGUUGGGAAAGAAAAGCAGCAGGUUAAUACCCCGCUGUUCUGACGGUACCCAAAGAAUAAGCACCGGCUAACUUCGUG